RNAcentral lists this ribosomal RNA (253 nucleotides) under uncultured bacterium. Its description in RNAcentral is "partial 16S ribosomal RNA". It matches the Rfam family "Bacterial small subunit ribosomal RNA", at positions 524 to 776 of the family's 1533-position model. The record is from RNAcentral.
UACGUAGGGUGCAAGCGUUAUCCGGAAUUAUUGGGCGUAAAGAGCUCGUAGGCGGUUUGUCGCGUCUGCUGUGAAAACCCGGGGCUCAACCCCGGGCCUGCAGCCGAUACGGGCAGACUAGAGUUCGGCAGGGGAGACUGGAAUUCCUGGUGUAGCGGUGAAAUGCGCAGAUAUCAGGAGGAACACCGGUGGCGAAGGCGGGUCUCUGGGCCGAUACUGACGCUGAGGAGCGAAAGCGUGGGGAGCGAACAGG